This 252-nucleotide ribosomal RNA is filed under the name uncultured bacterium. RNAcentral describes it as "partial 16S ribosomal RNA". It matches the Rfam family "Bacterial small subunit ribosomal RNA", at positions 524 to 776 of the family's 1533-position model. The record is from RNAcentral.
UACGGAGGAUGCGAGCGUUAUCCGGAUUUAUUGGGUUUAAAGGGUGCGUAGGCGGGUUAUCAAGUCAGCGGUAAAAUCGUGGAGCUCAACUCCAUCCAGCCGUUGAAACUGAUGAUCUUGAGUGGGCGAGAAGUAUGCGGAAUGCGUGGUGUCGCGGUGAAAUGCAUAGAUAUCACGCAGAACUCCGAUUGCGAAGGCAGCAUACCGGCGCCCUACUGACGCUGAGGCACGAAAGCGUGGGGAUCGAACAGG